RNAcentral lists this ribosomal RNA (116 nucleotides) under Yersinia enterocolitica. The record is from RNAcentral. Lineage: Bacteria; Pseudomonadati; Pseudomonadota; Gammaproteobacteria; Enterobacterales; Yersiniaceae. RNAcentral also lists the same sequence under 1 other name.
CCUGGCGGCCAUAGCGCGGUGGUCCCACCUGAAUCCAUGCCGAACUCAGAAGUGAAACGCCGUAGCGCCGAUGGUAGUGUGGGGUCUCCCCAUGCGAGAGUAGGACACUGCCAGGC